GACGAACGCUGGCGGCGUGCUUAACACAUGCAAGUCGAACGAUGAAGCGGGUGCUUGCACUCGUGAAUUAGUGGCGAACGGGCGAGUAACACGUGAGUAACCUGUCCUUUUCUUUGGGAUAACGGCUGGAAACGGCUGCUAAUACUGGAUAUUCAGGCUGCAUCGCAUGGUGUGGUUUGGAAAGGUUUUUUCUGGGAUUGGGUGGGCUCGCGGCCUAUCAGCUUGUUGGUGGGGUGAUGGCUUACCAAGGCUUUGACGGGUAGCCGGCCUGAGAGGGUGGUCGGUCGCACUGGGACGGAGAUACGGCCCAGACUCCGACGGGAGGCAGCAGUGGGGAAUAUUGCACAAUGGACGAAAGUUUGAUGCAGCGACGCCGCGUGGAGGGUGUAGGCCUUCGGGUUGUGAACUCCUUUGUCUCGCGAAAAAGGCACAGUUUUGGCUGUGUUGAUGGUAGUGGGGGAAGAAGCGCCGGCUAACUACGUG
RNAcentral lists this ribosomal RNA (483 nucleotides) under uncultured bacterium. RNAcentral's name for it is "partial 16S ribosomal RNA". It matches the Rfam family "Bacterial small subunit ribosomal RNA", at positions 28 to 507 of the family's 1533-position model. The record is from RNAcentral.